Molecule: long non-coding RNA, 17644 nt
Filed under: Lynx pardinus (Iberian lynx)
Lineage: Eukaryota; Metazoa; Chordata; Mammalia; Carnivora; Felidae
Source: RNAcentral
CUUUUAAUGGCAAACACUUUGGCAGGAGCCUGGCUGCUAAAGAUCUAAGAUAGUAGCUGCCUGCCUCUUAGCAUUUUAGACUAAGUUCCUCUACUCUCUUAUCUUCUUAAUUUCGCAGCAAACAAUGGGCUAUUGACUAGGCUUUCAGAACUGUGGGUGUUCUCAGAGGGAGGCCGGCCAGAACACCAGCCACACUGGCUUUUGCUCCCGUUCCCAAGUUGGGCUCCAUCUACCAGAAAUACGAAACCCUGGAGUCUUUCUCCUCCUCACUUCUCCUUAAGGCGCAGGCAGCUGGGGAAGAGAACCUCAGGCCCAGGAUGUGUGUUUGUGGGGGGGGAGGGGGCGCGUGUGUAUGUACAUGUAUGUGAGGGCAUGUGUUGUGCACCUAUAUUUGAAUCUGUGCAUAUGUGAGUGUGCGUGCCUGGAGGCAUGAGUGUGUGAGUGUGCAUGCAUUUGUGUGUGUUGGCAGCGGGGGUGGUAGAGGGGGAGGAAGGCAGGCGGCAUCUGCCUGGCCAGUGAAAUGAGCUCUCCCAUGCACACACCUUUCCCAGGCGAGGUCUGCACUGAUACAAAGCGGUGUGGGCUGGAAAACGAGGAGCGUUUCUUGGAGGGGAAAGAAAAGGCUGGGCGGUGUUCUUCUCCCCGUGUCAGGUGAACCAACGAGCUAGCUUCCGAAGCUUUCAUGCCCGGGUACACAGAGACAUUUUGCGAAGACACUGACUCACCAUUCUGGGAUGCCUCACCCUCAAAGUCUUUACAGGAGUUAGCAUCAUGUUAACAAAAAUACCAGGCAGCACUUUGAUGGGAACUGGCUGAGAAAUGGGGUUCUGGGACCACUUCAGAGAAGUAUCUUGAACUUUGGCCGGACAGCCUUUUGCUUCUGAUGCGGUUCAGGAUGCAUUCCUCCAAAGUAAGGCACCUUGACAUAUUGACUAUUUCGGGCUGAAGGACUGUGAGAAAUGGCAUGUACAAGAAGAACCUACCCGUGAAGCAGGUCAUGAAACCCUCAUGUGAGAGGUGCCCACCCUGUACCUGAGGAAAGGGUCAUCCUCACUGCUAAAGACGACAAUGAAGGAACAGAGGUAUUUGAAUGAACAGGUCUUGCUCAGUUUACUACCCUCAGCUCACAGGCUUUGGUCUACCUUGUCUUUCCAUGAUUCUCCAGUCUUCAACAAGCCUAGCAGAAAAACUCUCAAGUUGAACGCUUUCUUCAGGACUUCGUUUCCUCAUGAAGGCUCCUCUGUCGAUGCAAGACUGACAUGAAAUAGAUAGGUAUGCUUUUCUCUUGUUAACCUGUCUUCUGUUACCGGGGUCCCAGGCGAGAACUUAGAAAGGUAGAGCAGAAAGACCUUUUCCCCUCUCUGUGCCACAAGUAGAGAAAACUUCAACUUGUUUUUUUUUUUUUUUUUUUUUUUAAUUUUUUUUCAACGUUUAUUUAUUUUUGGGACAGAGAGAGAGACAGAGCAUGAACGGGCGAGGGGCAGAGAGAGAGGGAGACACAGAAUCGGAAACAGGCUCCAGGCUCUGAGCCAUCAGCCCAGAGCCCGACGCGGGGCUCGAACUCACAGACUGCGAGAUCGUGACCUGGCUGAAGUCGGACGCUUAACCGACUGCGCCACCCAGGCGCCCCGAGAAAACUUCAACUUGUUUUUGAAUGUUUGGGGAGAGGUUUGUAGUGGACAAGCAGAAUGGAGAGAGAGAGAGUUCCUGUCAAGUUCUGAGUCGAGCUCAGUGCCUGCCACGCAUAGUGUCGUAGCUGCUGGCACCUCUUCUCUCUUCCUGUCUCUUCUAAGAUGGUGCAGAGCAGAAAUCACCACUGUGAUGUGCAGAUGUUGCGGUGUGGGGAGAAAGCGUCCAAACUCCUAUUUGUCUUUAUUUUUAAUCUCAUCUUCUUUCAAUUGGUUGUGUAUAUUUAUAGUGUUCGUGCUACGUUAGCACGCAUGCACACAUACACAAAUAUAAGCAUGUAUCUCUCUAAUAUUUUUUAAGAAUUGGAGGUGAGUUCACGUUCACAUUUUUUUAAAUUGCUAUAGAAUGAGCUGCGGGAGAGCUGUGUUCUCCUGCCCAAUUAGGGCAGCUACCUUGGGCACCUCGGAGAGAGACAAAAGGCAGGAAUGGCACCUGUGUCCUCAGUCUUCACAUGCUGCCUUUUCCAAAUGCUGAGAAACUAGCUUAGGCCAGGGCUUCCACGGAACAGAGAAGAAAAACAAGCUUCAUGGAAAAUAAAUGCCCUUCCUCACGCUCCCAGCAAAUUCAAGAAGGAAAGCCGGGGAAAGCCUGCCAGGAAACUUGGCCUGCUCAGAAUGUUUACUCCUCACUCAGUAACUCCGAUAAGAUUCCUGUGUUCACAGCAUCGUCCUGGGCGCCAUAGGAGAGGGAAGAGGGGUCCUGGUCCUCAUGUGACUGCCAUGUACCAAUUGCCAUAGGAACGCAAGUUGGCUGCAUAAAUGCUCUAGAGACUAAGUAAAGGGGCAACCAGAGAGCCUAUCUUCUUAUCCUGCAGACUUGUUUUAAAUGCUCCUAGAAGUUUCAAACUUUAUCACAUUAAGAUUUUUCACCCUGGUGGUGCUGCCUUUUCUUGAGAAUUUACUGAUGCUGUACUUAGUGUUAAAGAUUUAACGUACACGAUCUCCUUCUUUCCUCAUAAUACUAUUAUGAUGCAGGUCUGUUUUACACAUGAAAACACAGAAACAGAGAAGCUAAAUCACUUGCCCAAGGCCACAGAGCUAACAAAUGACCGGAGUCCAGUUCAGUUCUAUCUAACCCCCAAAGGCCAACCAGUCCCCACUACCGCUUGUGGGAACUAUGGCUAUUUUCCUUGUAGAAGAGCUGAUUUGAGAAGCUAAAUUCAAAUAAGGAAGAUGUGCUACAUGGAAAAGUGAGCAGACUUACUCUGGAAAUCUCCAGCAGAUAGAUCUAGCGCUGGUAGGUGGUUAGAGGUCAUUGAGAAGCAGAAGAACUUUCUAACCGUUGGGUGGCCUUAGAGUUGUAAUAAAUAUUAACUAUUUCACUUUCUUUUUAUGUUAUUAAGAUAUAGCGUUCAGCUGCCUUCACCUGAGUCUAUCUCUGGAAUGCAUUUGCCACCUGUCUUCUGUUUGUUAUAUGCAUCUCUCUCCCCAACCAGGUGAUAAUGGCACCUUAUUCAUUUCUCUGUCUCCGGAAUCCUAGCCCAGUACCUGGAAUGUGGAAGACACUCCAUAAAUGCUUGUUGGAGGAAUGACUCAUAACCAGUUGGGCCAGUUCCUGCUUCCAGAUUGGGGCAUGUACCCAGGGGGAAAAUGGCAGAGUUGCCCCUAUUGGAAGGCUGUGGAGCCAGGAACCCAGAGUCCAUGAGGUCCUCUAUCUCAUGUGCCCUGCUAGCUCCUCAGAAGGGGACGAGGUUUCCUACCGGGAACCUGGGCAUCAUUUGGGUGAAGAUGUGGUCUAUGAGAGGAACUUCCAUGAGACUGGUGAAGACAUCUCUUUGAUAGACUCUCGGUUUCCUCUUAUAUUUUCAGACCUCAGGUCCAUGAAACUGUGGAGCAUCGCCAGCAAAUGGCUCCGUGAGCCCCGAGUUAAUCUCGCCUCCCCAGCCCCAGUUUCCCUCUGGGGUGAGUCCCUCCCCUAGGAGAUAAGACUAUUGGCAAUAAUCUCAACUUGCAGUAGAAAUAUCCUACGCAGUCCCCGAUCAUCAAACAGUCUAAUGACCAAGCUUCCUCACCCUUGCUCCCCUGAUGUUUGCUUCCAGACCAUGGUUCAGGGAGGAGUGACUUAAGGGGAACUCAGCGGACUCCCUAAGGUGAGGAGAUAGAGCAGAGUGUCCAGGGAGAGCAAGUUCAUGGGGCUAGAGGUCGCAGCACAGAGUACUCGAGAAGAGAUCUACAAAAAGAGGGACUCUGGAGAUCUGCAGAGGCUCCGCUGUGUAUUCAGCAAAGUAGGGAUCCACACAAGGCCAAGGCAAGAAGCACAUGAGAGGCUCAGGAGGAACAGCACCCAGCACUCACACUGGGCUGUGAGGAUUGCCUGUUGCCAUUGGACUGGACAAUCUCAUGGUACCUAGGCCACUGGGGAGAGUACUCAGAAAGGCCUUGCCUUGGGCUUCAUCCCAAUUUGGAAGCUCUUUGAAAGACACUGGCUAGAGAAUGAAAAGACAAGCCACGGAGUGUGAGAAAAUAUUUAGAAAGCCUGUAUUUAAUAAAGAACUUGUAUCUAGAAUAUAUGAAGAAAUCUCAAAGUCAAUAGUAAAAAAAACCUAACAACCCCAUUAAAAAAUGGGCAAAUGAUCUUGACACUUCACUAAGGAAGAUGAUCGGCAUCAUCAGUCAUGUGGGCAAUGCAAAUAAAGCCACCGUGAACUACCACUACACUCCUUUUAGAAUGGCUAAGAUCGUAAGGACUGAUCACACCAAGAGUUGACAAAGAUGUAGACAAAUUGAAGUUCUCAUACCCUGCUGAUAGAAAUGUAGAAAGACGCAGCCACGUUGGAAACAGUUUGGCAGUUUCUUGAGCAAUGAAGCAGAGACUUAUCAUGUGAUCCAGUUUUCUACUCUUAGGUAUUCACUCAAGAGAAAUGAGAGUGUAUGUCUGUCCAUCUAUAUUAGUUUCCUAGGGCUGCCUUAACAAAGUAGUGCAAACUGGGUGGCUUAAAGACUACAGAAAUAUAUUUGGAUUUAUAUUUCCGGAGGCUAAAAGGCCGAGAUCAAAGUGUCAGCAGGGCAACCCUGUCUCCGAAACCUUAGCUUCUGGGGAUUUGUUGGGAAUCUUGGGCAUUCCUGGGCUUCCAGCUGUGUCACUGCAAUCUCUGCCUUCAUGGUCACAUGGUGUCUUUCUGUAUCUGUCUUCACAUGGCCACCUGCCUAUGAGGACACUAGUCAUAUUGGUUCGACACUAGUGUGACCUCAUUUGAACUCAUUACAUCUGCAGCAUCCCUUUUAAAUAAGGUUAUUCUGAGGUAGUGGGGAUUAGGACUUUGACAUAUCCUUUAUUGGGGGACACAGUUCAACCCAUAACACCAUCCAAAGUCUGAAUGUGAAUAUUUGGAGCAGUUUUACUUAUAAUCGCUGAAAACAGGAAACAAUGCAAAUAACCAUCCACAGGUUAAUGGAUGAACAAAUUGUGGUAUAUCUAUACAUUGGAUUACUCUUCAGCAAUCAAAGGAAUAGACAGGGGUGCCUGGGUGGCUCAGUCGGUUAAGGAGCCAACUCAGAUCAUGAUCUCAUGGUUUGUGAGUUCGAGCCCCGUGUUGGGCUCUGUGCUGACAGCUCAGAGCCUGGAGCCUGCUUCGGAUUCUUUCUCUCUGCCCCUCCCCUUCUCACACUCUCUCUGUCUCUCAAAAACUGAAUAAACAUUAAAAAAUUUUUUAAAAAAAGGAGUAGACAAUUGAUACACGCAAAAACAUGGAUGGACCUUAACACAAUUAUGCCAAAGGGAAAAGAAAAUCAAGAAUACAUAUGAUAUGAUUCCAUGUAUAUGAAAUUUAAAAAAAAUUUUUUAAAUGUUGAUUUAUUUUUGACAGAGAGAGAGAGAGAGAGACAGGGCACGAGUGGGGAGGGGCAGAGAGAGAGGGAGACACAGAAUCCGGAGCAGGCUCCAGGCUCUGAGCUGUCAGCACAGAGCCCAACAUGGGGCCCAAACUCACGGACCAGGACAUCAUGACCUGAGCUGAGUUGGACGUUCAACCAACUGAGCCACCCAGGCACCCCUCCAUGUAUAUGAAAUUUUAGAAAAUGAAAACUAGUUCUGUACUGACUGAGAGCAGAUAAAUGGUUGCCUGGGGACAGAUAGAUACGGUAUGAGUUUUCUAUGGCUGCUAUAACAAAUUACUGCAAGUGUAGUGACUCAAAACAUCACAGAUAUUUCUUAUUAUCAUUCUGGAGGUCAGAAAUAUGAAAUGAAUCUCAUGGGGCUCAAAUCAAAGUGUUGGCAGGCCUGUUUCUUCUGGAGGCUCUAGAGAAGAUUCGGUUUUCUUGCUUUUCCAGUUUCUGGGGGCUGCCCUCAUAUGUUGGCUUCCUCCCACCUUGGAUCUGCCUGGGCUGGUAGACCCAAUAGACUCUACUAGUCACAAGAAGCCUGACCACAUAUGUCCUAUGUCCCCCAGGCUGAUGUCCCAGUGAGGAGGGAGCCCACCAAUCUUCCUCUUCUUCUGCCAAUCUCUGCUUCAUUUGUCUGCUCCUACCUUAGAUCUUCCCAUCUUCCUUGUAUGAGGACUCUUGGGAUGACAUUGGGCUCACGUAGACCAUCCAGGAUUCUCUCUCCAUCUCAGGAUCCUUAAGUUAAUUGCAUCUGCAAAGUCUCUUCUGCUGUGCCAGCUAACAUAGUCACAGCUUCUGGCGAUCAAAACACGGAGAUUAUUCACAUGUACCUUUGUCAAAACUUCUUUGUAUACUUUAAUGUGUACAGUUUAUCACAUGUCAAUUAUAUAGCAAUAAAGCUGUUUAGAAAACCAAAACUAAGCUUAAUAAGGUCCUUUGAUUAAAAAAAAGGAAGCAACAGGGCUCUGCCCACCACAUUGUGUCGGCUCACCAGGGGUAUUCGGACUCCUCCCAGUCCUUGCUGAGAUGAGCAAGGAUUGUUCCAGAUAAUCAGAGCUGCUCCAGGGGAAUGUGCCUCAGCUUCUGGCAAAUGACUCUUCAAGCUUGGUUUAGUUGGUGUGCCCAGGGCACCCCAGAGGGGUGCAGAUGUGGGGUGUGCUCGGCAGUGGGCCCCUUGUAUUUUAUGCUGAUGAGUCAAGGUAAAGAGAGGCAUAAUAAUCAGAGAAUGGGAGCCAGUGUGUUCGGCCUGGCAGACUGGUGCAUUGAUACUAUUCAUCCCAGUUGACUUUCCCGCUCUUACUUUCUGCUUCCCUUGGACCACCACCGGUGUGACGCUGGAUUCAGAGAGUUUAAGGAAUUGCUCCUGACUGAGUAAUUGGGAAGAAAAGAACAAGGACUCAAAACUUCAGCCCUCUGUCUCCAAACCCUGUGCCGGUCCCACGGCCACUUCCACGGGCAGGGUGGUGGGAUCUAAGGAUGUGAGGAAGAGCCGUGGAUCUUUCCGCAGCACCGACAGGGAGAAGUGGUCUCCUUCUUGGAUGACUCCCGCGUGGGCUGCGGUCAGCCCAGGACCUCUGCCUCCCACCGCUGGACACAGCCAACUUUAUUCCUGACAAGAGAGAAUGAUUCUUCCACCAGAGCGCUCAAGUCUGCAUGUGGCAGAGAGUUAAACAUUGCUAGCUUGCUUGCUUUCUUUGUUCGUUCUUUAUUUUUAACAUCAUGUUAGUUUCAAGUGAACAACACAAUAAUUUGACAUAUGUAAGUAUUGCGAAAUGAUUGCCACCGUAAGCCUAGUUAUCAUCCAUCACCUCGCAUAGUUAUGGUUUUUUUUUCCUUGUGACGAGAACUUUUAAGAUCUACUCUCUUAGCAACUUUCAAACGUCCAGUACAGUGUCAUUAACUGUAGUCACCAUGCUGCGUGCUACAUCUCUACGCCUUCUUUAUUUUAUAACUGGGAGUUGGUACCUCUUGACGUCCUUCACCGAUUUGCUCCCCCCUUCUUUCAUUCUUUACUUUUCUUUCCCUCCUGUCUCUCUCUCUCUUUGUCCCUUAUUUCCUGCCUUCCUUCCCUUUGUUAUUAUUUAUCAUUUUUAGUUGUCAGGGCAUGUUGCUAUGAACUAUACUCACAUGUCUUUUUGUCUAAUUGCCUCGAAGGCAAUGAGGAGGGGACUUUUGACUCUGAUGCCCACGUGGCAUCUGAAACCGUGAAGUAAACUGCAGGUGACUCCCCGGCUGGCCAUACCCUGGGGGCUGCACCUGUGCUGUCUGUGCUGGACUCUUCCCUGUGAGCCAGCGCUGCCUCUCUGCGACGGAGUCUCCUGCCUACCGAAUGCGUGGAUUGUCUUACAGCACCCUGCACUGAAUAGCUCUGAGGACAGGAGGACCUCUUUGGUUCUUGCACCAGAAUUCAUUUGACGUGUGGAUUUGAUGUGUGGAUUUUCUCCUUUGCCUGCAGCAGGCAUUGGUGCGCCCCUUGAGGCCAGGGAGGGAGGUAAGGACAUGCCUUUCCUGGUUGAGAGAGGAGCCACUUUCCGCUCCUUCUCCCUGGGGACCAUCCUGGCUGCUGUGGUAACUCCUCUCUCGGCUCCCCUGCAGCUGGAAAUAGCUUUCUUGCUCUCUGGCAGGCACGUGGCAGAGUGGGGUGUGUGUGUGUGUGUGUGUGUGUGUGUGUGUGUGUGUUGGAAUGACAAGAUCCCUGAAGUAAAGGGCUCUACAGUGCUUCCUCCCUCCCUGCAUUUGUCUAGGCUUGGAGAGCCUGGCUGUGCAUGUCCUGUGUCCCCCCCAGGCUGAUGUCCCAUGAGGAGGGAGGCCCACCAAUCUUCUUCCCUCUCUGUGUGCUGCAUGGGGGACAGAGAGACCCUGUAUUGGGCUUUUCAUGAGGUGUAUACACUAUAAAUGUAUGUGUGUGUGGAAGGAAGGAAUUUUGGCUUGAAAAUACUUUUUUACUGGCAAGGAUAGCACUUCUCCUAAAGAAGAUGGCAGAAUUUGCCAAACUAAGCCUCCAGAAGAAAAUAUAACAGAGAGUGUGAAAGAAAUCCAUGUUCAAACAUUGGCAAGUGUGAAACAUUCAAGAAUUUUUGUGCGAACGUCAUAUUGUCAGAGCAAAAUUAAAUUAAGCUGGUCUCUGGCAAGUGUUCGGAAUGAACACAGAACUGGGGCAAGCCGAUGGGGGGGACCUGCUCUGACAUUGUUGCGUGAAGCCAGACAAGCAUAAUCGGGCAAAACCCAGGACACCUGAGGGCUGGGCUCUAUUCUUCAGUUAAUGAAGGCACAGCACCGUAGCUGCUUUGUGUCCCAAGGGUUGAAGGGAGCUGCCGAAAGACAUGGAACUUUCUUCCCCUCAACAACCCCAUCACGGGCUGAGUACGAGUUAGGCUCACUUAAAAAAUAUUUAGUGAGUAUCCCAAUUUGCUGAGCAAACUGUUGUUCUCCCCAUCAAAAGAGGAGAUGGUCCCACCUGUCUCCUACAGUCUGUAGUCUGCAGAUGGAAUUCAACUGACUAGAAUCAAAGGCAAUGUGGGACAAAUGCUGUGUUGGAGAUGUAAGCAAAGUGCUCGGGAACGUGGGGUUCAAGGCAACACGUUCUGAUAGAAUUGCCUUCAUGGGGCCAGGGUGGAGUUGGGGAAUACUUCCCGGAAAAGAAGCAGGCAUUUCAACUGAGCCCUGAAACAUGGAGAGCGUUGAGGGGAGCGGAGGAGGGAUGGGGUUGCAGCUGCAGCUGACGCCAGAGGUCAUAGGAAUUCCAGAAUUCAGGCAAUAAACCAGAGACCUCAUACACUCCCCGCUCCCCUCUAGGAUUCUCCUCUCUGGCAGGGUACGGGAGAGCAUGGUCUUGCCGAUGUGCCGGAAGUGCUCGGACACCAGCGGAGGGCUGAGCCCAGCUGUGGGCUCCUGUGGGGCAAGCCCCAUUCCUGCCCCACUGACGAGUCAGCCAAUACUCUGCUCUCUUCUCUGUCUUAGCAUUCACAUUGGCCUUAUAGGCUAUGGUAGAUCGGCAGGCCGUGGAGUUGGGCAGCCCCGAUCUGCUUUCUCUUUCGGAACUUAGCCUAUGGUCAUUAUAAUACAGUAGGGCUGUGCUUGGGGCAGGUGGGGAACCAGUCUGGCCAUCCCUCUUCCUUCUCUGAAGGCACAGGAGUUCACCAUCACAGUGGGCACUUGGUCAAAUUUGAGAAGGAAGACUGGACUCGAUUCCCCCUCUCCUGCUCCACACCUUGCAUUUUUGGAGGUCAACACGUUGCAAGUUCUGCCUCCCCGAGUUUUGUUAGCAGCGUCCUUAAGCCCUGGGCUGUCUUUUCACCAUUUCUAGGGUCCACAGAGACUCCCUCUUUUAGGAGCCUCAGGCUGUGGCUCCUUAGCCCUUCACUUUCCAGUGGGGACCGCUCUCGCUGGGCUCUGACGUGAGGGGCCAGCUGAGAACAACUUGCUUAGCACAGUCAUCACUCCCCACAAUUGCUCCCCACUGGGCAUCAGCUGUCCUCAUUACUGGUGGCACACCUGAGCACCUGCCGGCGCCUCCAGAUUCUGGCCAGGUGCUCUAGGGGCAUGCACAGUCGUCUCAUUGCCAGUGUUGAUAAUUAUUGCUUGUCCCAAGUUAGGAGCUCAGUAAAUGUUGCCUGAUGAAGCUGAAGUUCUUUUGGGCAUCUGCCUGAACAGUUCACAGUGGAUUAUCUUGCUUGGCACCUUAAAUUAUCCAAAGCAGUUCGUCUGAGGACGCAAAAAUGCUUACUGAAUAUUAGAGUUUUGUUUUUUAUUUUUAUCCCAAAUACUUCGAGCCUAUAGAUCUCUUCGGGAAGAACUGAUAUCUUUAUAACAUUUACACGAUUACUUGUUUUCUCUUUAUGUCCUUCCAUAAAGCAUUAUCUAUUUUGUACAUGUCCCACACAGCUUUAUUUUUAAGGCUGUACUGAUGCAGUCUAUGUAUUGCUGUUAUUAUGAAUUGGAUAAUUUUUCCUUACGUUUUCCAAUUUUGUUUAUAUGUAUGUGUACAUAUUUAUAAUAAUAUAUAAAAAUAUAAAAGCUGUUGAGUUUUUGUUUUUAUUUUUUACUUUGGUUCAUGUAUGUGUGUGCAUGUGUGCCUUGUUUUAUUUUUAUAUAGACAGUUAUACAUUGAAAAGAAAUUUUAUCUUUUUCUAGUUACUAUGCAUCUGUUUUAUUUGUUUGGUAUCUUGCAUUGGCUAGAAGAUACACAAUGAGUUGUUGUGUUUAUAUGUCCCUUAUUUAUUUGUUCUGUUGAUUUUUAUGAGGGCACCCAGGGCAUCUCACUGUUAAUUAAAAUACCUGUUGAUUGAAAAAUAGUAUUAUUUGGAAUGUUAAGGUAGUAUUACCUUAACUACUUACUACUAGUAGUUUGCUAACUACUUCUUUUUCAAAAUUGAGGAAUGGUUGAAAUAAUGUUGAAAUAAUGAUCUUCUAUUUCCCCCAUGUCCUGGAAGUGAUGUAUUAUAGGAGUUGAUUUUCUAAUAUUCAGCCACCUACACAUGCACCGUGAAGCCAUAUUGGGUCAUUUCUUACUUUUUUGUCGUAUUGCUGCACUAGAUUUGUUAUUUUGUUUAGAUGUUUUUAUAUCUACAUUGUAAGUGAGUGUGAUCUGCAGUUUUUCAUUUUGUGUUCUUUUUGUUAGGUGGUAGAAUCUGGGUUAUGGUAGAGUCAUAGAAUGAAUGGAGAAGUUUAUCAAGAUACUUCUAUGGGACUGGAUAGAGCCCAAGUAGUAUUUAUUUGUAAAAAAAUGUAUAAUUUGCCUAUAAAAUGAACUGCUCAGACUUUUUAGGGAGGCAAUUCUCUGAGAAUACCGUCCAUUUCUGUCAUGACUAUCUGUAUCUUAAAAUGUUCUAGUUCUCAAUUCAGUGUAAGUCAUCUCCCCAAGCCACCUGUUUUCAGAGUUAUUAGCAGAGAGUUGCCCAUAGUUUCCAUGUAAUAAAAUAACUUCUUCACAGCAAUCUUGCCAUUCCCAAUUUUGCAUAUUUGUACUAACUUUUUUUUUUCCAAUUUCACUUCUGAGAAAUCUAUGCAGUUUAUUGUUUCAGAUAUCACGUGGCUGGGUUUUGAAGAUUUAAACUAUGUACCUAACGCAUUAGUUGUUUAACACAUUAGUCGGUUACGUUACAUUAGGACAGAACUUACAGAAAUGAAUUCAUAUCAAUUAAUUGCUCCUAGAACUUAAUACCACUUAUUUAAUGUCAAUUAAUUCCCCUGGCAGGAGGCAAUUCUGGGGUAGUAGUUAGACUUGGAUGUAAGGAGAACACCAGCAGCUUUCCCUGGAGAAGGGGAGGGAGCCAGCAGUCUAGAAGGGACUGUGAGAGAGCACACAGCCAGGCAAGCGCCCAGCUUUUGGCACUGAUACAAGGUUUGGGCUGAACAGGUAGAUGAUGUGUCCUUGAUGGCCUCUGUCUUUACUCCCCUCUCUUUUUUCAAGUCUGCUUGGUUCUAAAAUCCAACUUCUAUUGUUUCCCUUUAUCCUUUGCUCCUUUAGGCUUGAACUUUAUCCCCAUUCUCUUUCGUGGCCAUAGCGAAUCUUUGCUUCAAAGCAAAGAGCUUGGGGCACCUGGCUGGCUCCGUGGGGUAGAGCAUGAGACUCUGGAUCUUGGGGUUGUGGGUCUGAGCUGCAAGUUGGGGAGUAGAGAUUACUCAAAAAUAAAAUCUUAAAAAAAAAAAAAACAAGAAGCUUGCCUCAAUUUGCUAAAUUUGCUCCAUUUUUAUGCCCUAGAUAAGGGAGUAUUAUUCCACAAAAGUGGACUAUGAGAAUUGGCAACUCACCCUAUGACCCUAUGAACUUCAUUGAACAGCAAUUCUUUUAUUUGUAAAUGAUGGUGAGAGGCACUUAGGAAGGGAAAACUUUCUUCUUUUCCUUUCAUUGGUUAGUUUUAGGAUAUAAAAAUAGUAACUAAUUUGAAUGAAUAAGAAAUCAGACAUAAGAAAAGGACUCACAUGUUAUUCGUAUCUUUUAAAACUGAACAUCCUCGGGGCGCCUGGGUGGCUCAGUCGGUUGAGCGACCGACUUCGGCUCAGGUCAUGAUCUCACGGUUUGUGAGUUCGAACCCCGCGUCGGGCUCGGUGCUGACAGCUCAGAGCCUGGAGCCUGCUUCAGAUUCUGUGUCUCCCUCUCUCUCUGCCCCUCCCCCACUCAUGCUCUGUCUCUCUCUGUCUCAGAAAUAAAUAAACAUUAAAAAAAAUUUUUAAAAACCAAAAAACAAAAAACUGAACAUCCUCACUUAAACAAGUCUGGUGUUUCUGACAAAAUGGGUACUCCUAUCCUUUGAGAGACUUAAGGUUUCUCAAGUUGCUGAGUUUUCAACUAGGCCAGGGGCCUCUCAAUGAAAAUAAUAAAACCACUGGCAAAUUUCUAAGGGAUAACUGGGCUUUCAGUUUGCUUCUUUUAUGAGAAAGAGAAGAGAAUCAAACAUUAGAAAUAUUAGCUUUCUAUUUUACCCGCCAUUUUUCUCAGAGGGAGAUGCCAGGCAUGGUAUUCUGUAUUGUUAUCAAGGAAAUUCUGUGUGUCUGCACCCCUGCUUUCAGUGAGAAGUGACCGGAGAAGGCUGAGUGUGUUUUAUUUCUAUUUUUGUGACAAAGAUUAUGUAGUUGUCAUUUUUCACCAACUGUCUUUCUUACUGGACCUUGAAAAUGGCAUUGCUGGAGCUGGCCCUCGAAGAGUUAAACCAAACAGGUCCCCUUUCUCCAUCAACCUGGUUGAGUGAGUUCUCUGACCAGAGUUGCACACUGUUGUAAGGACGCUCAGAGGUGACUGAGGGGUAAAGGAUAUGUCAUCCUUUGCCAAAAUAAUCGGUGUUUAAAACAUCUUCUAGGACGUUUUCUACUCUGUUCUUUAGGUGUGCUUAAGAACUCUGCUCCAAGAGAAACAUAUUGGAAGAUGAUCCAUGAAGUGAAAUUCUACCCCAUGUUUCUUCUUCUACUUUCAUGAGAAAAAUGAUUGUACCUUCAGAUGCGACUCAGCCAUUUCAUAUGGAUAUAUAUUUGCCUUCUCUGACUGGUGAAGAGAGAUCUCUCUUUUAAGCCAGUGGUUCUCAAACCUGAGCCUACAUCUGAAUCAGUGGAAGGUCUUGUUAAAACACAGAUCAUCAAGUCCCACCAUGAGGCUUUCUGAUUUAGUAGGUUUGGGACCAGGUCUGAGAAUUUAUAUUUCUAACAAGUUCCCAGGAGAUGCAGACGCUCCUGGACACGCUCUUUGAGACCCUCUAUUCUUUUUUUUUUUUUUUUUUAAAUUUAUUUAUUUAUUUAUUUUAUAUAUAUAUGAAAUUUAUUGACAAAUUGGUUUCCAUACAACACCCAGUGCUCAUCCCAAAAGGUGCCCUCCUCAAUACCCAUCACCCACCCUCCCCUCCCUCCCACCCCCCAUCAACCCUCAGUUUGUUCUCAGUUUUUAACAGUCUCUUAUGCUUUGGCUCUCUCCCACUCUAACCUCUUUUUUUUUUUUUUUUUUUUUNNNNNNNNNNNNNNNNNNNNNNNNNNNNNNNNNNNNNNNNNNNNNNNNNNNNNNNNNNNNNNNNNNNNNNNNNNNNNNNNNNNNNNNNNNNNNNNNNNNNNNNNNNNNNNNNNNNNNNNNNNNNNNNNNNNNNNNNNNNNNNNNNNNNNNNNNNNNNNNNNNNNNNNNNNNNNNNNNNNNNNNNNNNNNNNNNNNNNNNNNNNNNNNNNNNNNNNNNNNNNNNNNNNNNNNNNNNNNNNNNNNNNNNNNNNNNNNNNNNNNNNNNNNNNNNNNNNNNNNNNNNNNNNNNNNNNNNNNNNNNNNNNNNNNACCACAAUUUCUUUAUCCAUUCAUCAGUUGAUGGACAUUUAGGCUCUUUCCAUAAUUUGGCUAUUGUUGAGAGUGCUGCUAUGAACAUUGGGGUACAAGUGCCCCUAUGCAUCAGUACUCCUGUAUCCCUUGGAUAAAUUCCUAGCAGUGCUAUUGCUGGGUCAUAGGGUAGGUCUAUUUUUAAUUUUCUGAGGAACCUCCACACUGCUUUCCAGAGCGGCUGCACCAAUUUGCAUUCCCACCAACAGUGCAAGAGGGUUCCCGUUUCUCCACAUCCUCUCCAGCAUCUAUAGUCUCCUGAUUUGUUCAUUUUGGCCACUCUGACUGGCGUGAGGUGAUACCUGAGUGUGGUUUUGAUUUGUAUUUCCCUGAUAAGGAGCGACGCUGAACAUCUUUUCAUGUGCCUGUUGGCCAUCUGGAUGUCUUCUUUAGAGAAGUGUCUAUUCAUGUUUUCUGCCCAUUUCUUCACUGGGUUAUUUGUUUUUCGGGUGUGGAGUUUGGUGAGCUCUUUAUAGAUUUUAGAUACUAGCCCUUUGUCCGAUAUGUCAUUUGCAAAUAUCUUUUCCCAUUCCGUUGGUUGCCUUUUAGUUUUGUUGGUUGUUUCCUUUGCUGUGCAGAAGCUUUUUAUCUUCAUAAGGUCCCAGUAAUUCACUUUUGCUUUUAAUUCCCUUGCCUUUGGGGAUGUGUCGAGUAAGAGAUUGCUACGGCUGAGGUCAGAGAGGUCUUUUCCUGCUUUCUCCUCUAAGGUUUUGAUGGUUUCCUGUCUCACAUUUAGGUCCUUUAUCCAUUUUGAGUUUAUUUUUGUAAAUGGUGUGAGAAAGUGGUCUAGUUUCAACCUUCUGCAUGUUGCUGUCCAGUUCUCCCAGCACCAUUUGUUAAAGAGGCUGUCUUUUUUCCAUUGGAUGUUCUUUCCUGCUUUGUCAAAGAUGAGUUGGCCAUACGUUUGUGGGUCUAGUUCUGGGGUUUCUAUUCUAUUCCAUUGGUCUGUGUGUCUGUUUUUGUGCCAUGAGACCCUCUAUUCUAAGCAAACCUGUGAGUUAAGUCAACAUGCUUCUUCUAAAGUUUCUGAAAUAUCUAAGUUUUUUCAUAGCACAGUUUCACAGCUAAGUGAAAAUUGGGUCUCUAGUUGGAAAAGGAAGGCCAUAAUAACUUAGGCUGAUGGAGCGCUCAUGAGGAGGUUCCAAAUUAAACAGGGUGAUCCAUUUCAUAGAGCACACACCUGAAUGAUUCCUUUGACUACAGGGUUCAAGGCACCUCGGCUGUGAAGUUAGGCAUAUCAUAAAUGAGACCCAGCGCGACCUUGUGGUAUGUCUUGUCGUCCAAAUAUGGGCUUCAUUAGGGCAGCCCUGGGGGAGUACAUUGUAAUAGCUCUGGCGAUAUGUGCAAGGGAAUAGUACUGCCUUCCUCAGGCUGCAUCUCUUUUGGCAUUAGCUUUGGAGCAUGCCUGGACAAGGACCUGGAAGUUGUUUCUCAAAACAACCAAAGCACUCAAACACACAGGCUUUCAAAGUGGCCAUUUUCUUUGAGGUUCCUCCCCUUGCCACUUUCGAAGGGGCUGGAGAAAAUGGCUCUGCCUCUAGCUACGCGGUAUCAUCAUAGAUGGAAGCUCAUUUUCUUCGCUAGGGUUAAGCCUGGCUAAAGAGGAGAAGACCACUGUGCAUGCACAGCCUGUCCCCAGGAAGACUUGUCAGCCUAUGCUAUACAAAGAUGGAAAUCAAGCUGGUUCACUGUGGAAUCCAAGGCCAGGGUCAGAGUUUCCGCCGGCCUGUCUGCAGUUGAAGGGGUCCUAUCACAGGGAAAAGCGCCCCACUUCCUCCUUCGAAUGGUGUCCUGAACAACAAGGCCUUGAGCCUCAGGAUCUACACGGGGAGGAAAUGAGAACUUGUGCCAAAUCAGGCAGUUGCCUGAUUCCUCUUGUGGCUGAGGAACCACAAUGAGGUCAGUCCCCUGCAACUGUCCCCUGGGACAGCUCGGUGAACUCCUGGACUACCAGACACUGCCGGCUCCCCAUCUGAAUGCUGGACCCGAAGUCAAGCUGGUUUGUCUUUGACAGAGUGGCCUUUGAAUUCUUAAAAUAUGUUCUGACUGGUGUCCAGCCAGUGGGAGAUGUGAUUACAGUAAUUGAUGGGCCUAUGAUAGACACAGCUCUCUGAAAAUGCAGUGUUGAGUGUUUUGAAAGGGAUUCCAUGAACUCUUAUUUAUACAUGACUCCGGUUUUCUGUAUGUGAAAGGCUUGUGGCUAAUGUGUCAAACGAGGACAACCAAACCACCAAGGUCUUUUCCCUGGAAGAUCACAGUAGAAGAAUUGAGGGCUAAGAAAAUGCAGGCAUUUGAGACAAUAUGGUCAUUGUUGUAAGAUAAUCUCCUUUACAUUUUCUUUAAAAAAAAUUUUUGUUUAAUUGUUUGAUGGUUGGGGUAGAGAGAGAUAAAAGUAAGGCAAAAAUGUACACUACAUUCAAAAUCUGGGUCACAUCUACCCAUAUCCUACUUUCCUGGAACAUCUAAUUUUGUUAAAAGGUUAAAGCUGAGAAUUUCAGAGUUGAAUAUCUUCCUUAGCAUUCAGAAACAGAAACUUCAAAAAUUUAUGAAAGAACAGCAAAUACAGAAAGAACAGAAAGUAUGAGCUAUAUCUUUUACUUCAACUAUCUGAGGUCAAGGUUUUUUGGUGUAGUUGUUCUUUCCAUUUUAUUAGUGAGUGUUUUUGUAUUCUUGAUUUAAUGGGUUUAUUGUCGAAGUUUCUAUUAUUUUAAUUUCUCUCAUCUACUCAGGAGGAACAGUAAGCAAACCCAAGGCAAUAUAGAUGGUGUUCUCAACUGUUCAGUUUUAUCCAGAAUCUGCCUUCAGUGGUGACCAGGUAGCUUAUUCCAGCCACAUCACUACUAAUACUUAGAUGCUCCAUAUUAUUUGCUUGUGAUGUAACAAUGCAGUAGAAACCUAGGGAGAAAACUGACCCCUCGAAUGAAAGUUUCUUCGAAUCUGGCAUUUUGUUGUUUAUCUGUAAGGUUAAUUUUACCUCUGUGUUUCUACCACUUUUAGAAAAGCCACUGGGAAAUAUUUAACUAUUUCAGUGUACCUUAAUUAUCAAUCCCGGGAGUGUGUUUGUUAUGGCAAUGCUGAUGACAAAGUGCCAUAGCACUUCCAUAGUCUGGAGAGAAUUAGGAUAUCAUUAUAGUCCUCUCCAGUCAUUCCAGAAUGAGAUCAGAAGAGAUCGUCAUCCUCUUUGCAAAUGAGAAACAAGUAUAGGUGUGAAGAGACCUGGCCAUGACCAUUCAGCAAAUGAAAGGUCCACUGGAAGAUGGGGUUGACCUCUUAUGCAUCAGGGAGGACUUCUUAUCCUGGACAAGAGCAUGAGGGCCACCAAGACACUUGGAAGAAACACAUCAUCUUU